UUGGCGGAGGCCCAGGUCGAGUCCACCCUGACUGCCUGUUUUUAGCAACGGAGAACCGCGUGAGCAGCUUGUUAUUUUUAUUUAUGCUGAAGUUGUUACACGGAGGAUUUUUUUUCUUUUUCCCCUUUAAUUGCACGAGGGAAGCGCUGCGUCGCCUUCUCGGUAGAUGUAUGCUCCUGGGUGUGUCGCAGGCUGCUUACGUGUCAUUGGUAUUCUGCUCUGGCUUUUUUCUAAUGCCAUGAAAGUCACCCAAGUAAAUAAUAGAGCCCCCGUGUUCAUUAGAGAAAGUUCCCGUCCAUCAGCGAAGAGAGGCCUGGUGGUAAUGGAUCAGCGACUGUGGUACUGUAAACCUCCUCUUUCACAUCGCCGUGAAAAGCCACUCAAACAAAAAAGGACACGCUCAAGGACGACGACGUGAAAUGGAUUUAAAAAAAAAAAAAAAGAACUUACUGUGUUUGGACUCGCCUCUGGCCCCUCUCGAGCCUCUGUCACACCUCUUGAACCACCGCUGAACAACUGCAGAGGCCUCCUCUUCUUCAUCUUACAGUGAUGUUUGUACGGGAGAGCUUGCAGGUUCCGAUAAGAUAAGAUAGAACACACUUUAUUGAACCAUGUGGGGUAAUUUGUCCUCCGUAUUUGACCCAUCCUUAGUUACUUAGGAGCAGUAGGCAGCCACAGUGCAGUGCCCGGGGACCAACUCCAGUUCUGAGGCCAGUGCCUUGGGUCAAGGGCAAAGGCAGGAGAAUACCUAACCUGUCAUGCAAUGAUGGGAGGAGCCAAGUAUCUCUCACUUGAAGACAUCUGGAGGCCUGUGAAUGCCUGGCUCGUGCAGCAUUAAACUUAAGAACUUAAGAGCUUUAUACCGGUCUAGACUAGGCAGCUUGCUUCCUUUCGCUGUGGAGAAUGACAUCACAGUCAAAGUCUCCUCCCACAGUGUUCCGAGUUCCAAAGUUCCAAUGGGAGGUGGGAUGAAAGGAAAUUUGAACAAUUGUUGGUUUGCUGGUUCCGUUUAAAUUGUGUUCAUCACAUCUCUGAAAUUUCACUGCCUUUAUGAACAUUUUAAAAGCUACCUCCACCCCCCAGGAAAAAUAAAUAAGUAAGAAAAAUAAAUAAAAUACCCCAAGGCUGUUCAGUGACAGGGAGUACGAGCCUCAGUAACGCUUUAUUGGUCUGGUUAUAAAUACUUUAAUAGGUUUUAAUAACUGCAGUAUACAUUUUUAAAUAAAUUGUUGAUUUGUAGUCUAAUGGUGCUGUGCUGACAUACACACAACACAGCAACAAUGCAUUUUAUUUACAUUUAGCUGUACUUAUGACUUAUGAAUUUAUAAUGCAGAGAUUGAUGAAUGCUUGGGCAAAAUGUCACAGAUGUUUUUUUAAUGAUGAAUAAUGUAGUUGUUAAUGCUUUAUUAAGCUUAAACAGCUGGACCAUAUCGACGCCAUUACCAGAGCCACCGAACCGCUUCUCAGCGUAGCCUUACGGCUUUGCUACUACUACCACACCACCUUAGAACUACGGCUCGGAUGUGU
Molecule: long non-coding RNA, 1527 nt
Organism: Anguilla anguilla (European eel)
Lineage: Eukaryota; Metazoa; Chordata; Actinopteri; Anguilliformes; Anguillidae
Exons: 3
Source: RefSeq, a predicted model, not a curated record